This is a long non-coding RNA of Acromyrmex echinatior (Panamanian leafcutter ant), 518 nucleotides long. RefSeq lists it as uncharacterized. The record is from RefSeq and is a predicted model, not a curated record. NCBI's taxonomy places the organism in Eukaryota, Metazoa, Arthropoda, Insecta, Hymenoptera, Formicidae.
CGCGCGCGAUUAUAAUGUAUUAUUCGCGAAUGUUUUACGUGAGUGUCCUGCGCGAGAGGAUGUCAACCCAAUUCUGAGAGGAAGAGGAGGUCUGGGAGAGAUAUCGGGCACCGGCGGAGCAACCUUGCAAAUCAUCGUAGCAACUCCGCUGUUGCGCAUCAGAUUGACGGAGAAACGCGGUGGACGAACAAAUUAAAAAAAAAACAAAAAUUUAAUUUAUAGCAUAUAAGAAAACAAAAAUAAAAAAGCAUGACAAAAGAUUGUUAACGAUGCAAAUACCGCGUAUAUUCAACAGUAUAACAUUAAUCUUACAAAAUAAUAACUCAAACAUUUAAAAACAAAAACAUAUUCUACCAACAGAAAUGUAAAUUACACGCAUAAUUGUAAAAAUCGAAUAAUAAUAAUUCGGAUAGACGGUUGUCAUUGAAAUGUUGGUCGAAUAGGAUCACAGAAUUGGUCGGCUCGUAUGCGAAAGAAAAAAGAGAAAAGAAAAUACUUAUAUUAUUAAUGCGACACGA